This is a non-coding RNA of Pluteus cervinus, 84 nucleotides long. NCBI's taxonomy places the organism in Eukaryota, Fungi, Basidiomycota, Agaricomycetes, Agaricales, Pluteaceae. The record is from the annotation of a GenBank genome assembly.
GGCGCCAUAGUGUAGUGGUUAUCACUCGAGAUUCUGAUGCUUGCGACAUUUCUCGUAACCCCAGUUCGAACCUGGGUGGCGCCU